RNAcentral lists this ribosomal RNA (253 nucleotides) under uncultured bacterium. RNAcentral's name for it is "partial 16S ribosomal RNA". It matches the Rfam family "Bacterial small subunit ribosomal RNA", at positions 524 to 776 of the family's 1533-position model. The record is from RNAcentral.
UACGUAGGGUGCGAGCGUUCAUCGGAAUUACUGGGCGUAAAGUGUGCGCAGGCGGCAGAGCAAGUCGAGUGUGAAAGCCCCGGGCUUAACUUGGGAAUUGCGCUCAAAACUACUUUGCUGGAGUGUGGCAGAGGAAGGUGGAAUUCCACGUGUAGCGGUGAAAUGCGUAGAGAUGUGGAGGAACACCUGUGGCGAAGGCGGCCGACUGGGCCGACCCUGACGCUGAGGCGCGAAGGCGUGGGGAGCGAACGGG